UUAAUUAAUUUAAUAAUUGUCUCAGACUGCAUACUUCAGACAGCGUUCACAGGUGGCUUCGGCGGGCGCGGGCCCGGGGGCGGAUGCCCCCCGGCGGCCGUGAGGCGGGCCCGCCGAAGCAACAAGGUACAAUAAACACGGGUGGGAGGUUGAAUUCAGAGAAUUCUCGCUCGGUAAUGAUCCUUCCGCAGGUUCACCUACGGAAA
This 206-nucleotide unclassified non-coding RNA is filed under the name uncultured fungus. RNAcentral describes it as "sequence contains ITS1". Lineage: Eukaryota; Fungi. The record is from RNAcentral.